RNAcentral lists this ribosomal RNA (254 nucleotides) under uncultured bacterium. RNAcentral's name for it is "partial 16S ribosomal RNA". It matches the Rfam family "Bacterial small subunit ribosomal RNA", at positions 524 to 776 of the family's 1533-position model. The record is from RNAcentral.
UACGUAGGGAGCGAGCGUUGUCCGGAUUUAUUGGGCGUAAAGCGCGCGUAGGCGGUUUGGUAAGCCGAUUGUGAAACCUCCAAGCUCAACUUGGAGCCUGCAUUCGGAACUGCCAUGACUCGAGUCCGGUAGGGGAACACGGAAUUCCAGGUGUAGCGGUGAAAUGCUUAGAUAUCUGGAGGAACACCAGUGGCGAAGGCGGUGUUCUGGGCCGGUACUGACGCUGAUGCGCGAAAGCGUGGGGAGCGAACAGG